UUCCUUCUAAAUUCAUCUUCAUCUUCAUCUUUCCCUCUCUAAAACCAAAAAAAUCAUAAAUCCAACAAAAUAAUGAUCCAAAAACAACACCAGGAUAACAACAACAAUAACCUCAUUCUAGCUACAUAAAGAAGCAAAUGUUUCCAGGUAAAGGUAGAUCCGAGUCAUCACAAAUAGCAACAAUAGAAUCCUUGAGAGUGAUACAGUUAGUAACAUUAUUAGGAAAAUACUUAGUAUAUUGAAGUGAAAGAGAUUUAUCACAAACAACAAGCUCCCAAAUUUUCUUUCCUCUAACAUCAAGAAUUAGUCUAGAACAAAAUCCAACUCCCAGCUUAAUAUGCUAUUAGCAUCGGCUUUUGGGUUAAAAUAACAUGUUUCAGCAUUUAGGUCUUCUUUCUCUUGCUCUUCUUCAAGUUGUUUUUGUGUUGUUGUUGCUGCUGCUGAGAUUUAUGAGCGAUGGUUUUGGCACAUGUACGUACACCGACGACGAUGGCGUGGGAGGGUGAAUCCAUGAUUACGGCGGCGACGUCACCCGCUGAGAGGAGAAGCAGGAAGAGAGAGAGAGAGAGAGGAGGAAAUGGAGGGAAUGUGAAUGACUAAAUUUUAUGGUCGGUGGCGAGCAGGGGUGGUGGCCGGAGGAUGGUGGCGGCAGAAAACAGCAAGCUGAAGAGAGAAAUAACUUAACGACACAAUGAAGAAGAAGAUGAAAUUUGAGUUGGAUCCUUGGGCCGGGUCAUAUUACCCAUUUUAUUAAGCCCGAUCCAUUAAAAAACUGUAACAAAAAGAAUAUAUUUGCCACAUCAUUAUUGUGUCUCAUGACUGGGUAGAAUUUAAGAGAGAGACUAUUUAUGCUAACGGAGUAAAACAGUAGGGAUUUUAAAAAUAUUUAUUGAAACGUAAGAACUAUUUUUUAAAGGAGCACAAAAUGUAGGGACCAAUAACAUAUUUAAUCCUUAAAUUAAUAAUGAAGUUCCUAUCAAGGAAUUGGGACCGUAUAAAGGUUGGAAAAAUUAUGUAAAGUGCCGUGUACAUAUUUGUACUUGCAUUUACUGAUAUACAUAUCUUUAAUAAACAAUUUUGAAUCUCAAACUGUUGCUUGAUGUUGUUAUAGGAUAGGAUAUUAGCCAAUAAUCUAGUCUGUGUUUAUACUCAGGGAAUUGGGAGUAUACUCUUCUCAAUUAAAUUAUAUUUUUUUUAUGUAAUGUUUGAUUGGGUCAAGCAUUUUGCGUGUAUAUCAUAUUAGCUUUAGUCAAUGACAUAUGUAUAAAAUAUGCACCAAAUAGAAAUUUCUGUCAAGAAUUUUGGAAGUUUUUUCCCCUAAAAUAAUAUUAAUGUCAAUUUCCUAUUUAUUUAACGAAGCAGCCUGCAUACCAGCUGGCUUCUCUUAGUCCUAUAUAGUAUUAGACUACAAUUAUUAUUUUGACAAAAUAGACUACAAUUAUUAAAAAUAUAGAGCAUGUUAUUACUUAAACGUAUAGUAUAAAAUACGUUUAGAGGAUUAUGGAAAUUGUGUACAAGAAAAAAAUUCUAGCUUAGUUACAUUGAACUUAACAUGAUAAAAUUGAAGUUUCAAAGCAAUCUUGCAAUACAAGUUGACUAAUAUUUUUAAAGAAAAAUUUAUGAAAGAUAACUAACAGUUUAGCAUGAAUAAGUCUCGGAUCCUCCCUGCGGUACAACAGUGCAAUAAAUUUUCUAUGAAGAAUUAUUCAUUGUAUUGUUGUACUGUGAGAGGGGAUGCAAAUGACUAGCUAAUUAGACCGCCACUUGUCACUUUUAAAAAAGUCUAACUUUUGACAUGCCACAUGAGUCACAGAAAGUGGCAAUGUGCUCUCAUCACUAAUGGUCUAUUUAUAUUUUAAAUUGGCUAGGGAAGACUCACCAGUCACCAGCAUGCCUUGGUGAAACAUUUGAGAACAAUUAUUUUCUUCUUCCAAUUUUCUUGUUCCUUCCAUCAUAGCUAUGAGAGUUCUAAAAUCCUCAACUAUUUUAUUGCUUCUCACAAUUCUGUUGUCUGUAAUGCAAGCUACCACGUCUCGAAAUUCGGUCACUCAUGUUACACUUGUUGACAUGGAAAGGAGAUCAGAAACAAAGCUAUCUUCCAUGUUUGUACAUAGUUAUUCUGCUAUUCUCACCUCUUUGAAUAAUAAGAAGGGUAAGUUUCAUGCAGUUUCUCGCCAUGUAGUUCCUUCUGGACCAAAUCCUCUGCAUAAUUAAUCAGAUAUGGGAGUUUUUGUGCUCAUGAUAUUUAAUAUUUGGUUAGUUUUCGUGCAUACUGUAUUCAGACUUGAAGACUUGUAGAAGUUCUUAGUUGAUUACAUGUAUAUAAUAGAUAAAUAAAUAGAAGAUCGAAGCUUGCAAGUAUAUAUUGUGUUUUUGUUAUGGUUUCUGAUUAAAUACAAGACUAAAAGUUUGAAGUUUCCAAUCAUAUUUUAGUUUUACAUAUCUUGGUGCCAGAUAGUUCAAUAACAAUGGUGUGAUAUAGAUGAUUGUAAAUUAAUUAGUGUUUGUAGUGUCAACCUAGUUAGAAUCACUCACUCAUGUAAAAAAUGUUUCCCUUGAUAGAUAGGAGGGGCUAGAGCCCUGACCUGCUUUUACCUAGGGCAUGUUUGAAUUAACUUAUUUGAGUUUACAUACUAAUAAAUACUUGAGACAUUCUUUGAAAGAACUUAUAAAAGUAGCAUAUCCCAUAUUUAAAAGUUGAUCUCAACUUAUUUUCAUAAGCUCUCCAGGAUAGCUUAAGAAAAUAUCUUAUAACUUGACUUUAUCUUGUGUAAUAAAAAUAACUUAUUCAUAAGCAUUUAUAUAACAAGCGCUUAUGCUAUAAAUUACAAAAUAAUUUGUUUAUCCAAACAGAGCCUUAGAUUAGUGACCGCAAGUUUUGGUAUAUUAUUUAUUCUCUGUCUACCCUCUCUGUUUUUUCCAAGUACAAAAAGUAAGCAUGAUUUUUCAUCAAAUAAGAUGGACAAUUUUUUUGCAUGUAAUAAACAUUAGGUUACUUAGCCGCUAUUGGUGCUCCUUAAUACGGUACAUCUUAUUUACCUAACUUGUGCAUAUUUGGUC
This 3060-nucleotide long non-coding RNA is filed under the name Medicago truncatula (barrel medic). RNAcentral's name for it is "long non-coding RNA (MTRU_LNC007758)". The record is from RNAcentral. Lineage: Eukaryota; Viridiplantae; Streptophyta; Magnoliopsida; Fabales; Fabaceae.